GACUGUUUGAGAAUCCCCAAUGGAGUC
Molecule: non-coding RNA, 27 nt
Filed under: Mus musculus (house mouse)
Lineage: Eukaryota; Metazoa; Chordata; Mammalia; Rodentia; Muridae
Source: RNAcentral